ACCGGAGGAAGGUGGGGAUGACGUCAAGUCAUCAUGGCCCUUACGGCCAGGGCUACACACGUGCUACAAUGGUCGGUACAAAGGGUUGCCAAGCCGCGAGGUGGAGCUAAUCCCAUAAAACCGAUCGUAGUCCGGAUCGCAGUCUGCAACUCGACUGCGUGAAGUCGGAAUCGCUAGUAAUCGUGAAUCAGAAUGUCACGGUGAAUACGUUCCCGGGCCUUGUACACACCGCCCGUCACACCAUGGGAGUGGGUUGCUCCAGAAGUAGCUAGUCUAACCGCAAGGGGGACGGUUACCACGGAGUGAUUCAUGACUGGGGUGAAGUCGUAACAAGGUAGCCGU
Molecule: ribosomal RNA, 342 nt
Filed under: uncultured bacterium
Lineage: Bacteria
Description: bacterial SSU rRNA
Rfam family: Bacterial small subunit ribosomal RNA
Source: RNAcentral